Molecule: long non-coding RNA, 251 nt
Filed under: Elaeis guineensis (African oil palm)
Lineage: Eukaryota; Viridiplantae; Streptophyta; Magnoliopsida; Arecales; Arecaceae
Description: long non-coding RNA (EGUI_LNC067006)
Source: RNAcentral
GGCGACGAUUGGGCACCUUCAAACGACGUCAACGUCGGACAAGUCAAAAGACAAAAGAAGUUCGACGGGCGAUAAUUUAAUACAAUACGUGGAUGAGGUAACACAAAAUCCCCUUUUCAUUCCAUUUGCGAAAUAUACACCACGAAGCCCAGAAGGCCAAAGGAAGAAAAGCAAAACGACAAAAGCAAGACAAAACAACAAAAGAGAAAAUAUAUGCAUGGAAAGAUGGAAGGCCAAAAAGAUCCCUAGGG